GUCAUAGUUCAGUGGAAGAGCAGCUGCUUUGCAUGCAGAAGGUCCCAGGUUCAAUCCUUGAUAGCAUAUCCA
This is a non-coding RNA of Podarcis lilfordi (Lilford's wall lizard), 72 nucleotides long. The record is from the annotation of a GenBank genome assembly. NCBI's taxonomy places the organism in Eukaryota, Metazoa, Chordata, Lepidosauria, Squamata, Lacertidae.